Molecule: ribosomal RNA, 972 nt
Filed under: Leuconostoc sp. NCCP-961
Lineage: Bacteria; Bacillati; Bacillota; Bacilli; Lactobacillales; Lactobacillaceae
Description: bacterial SSU rRNA
Rfam family: Bacterial small subunit ribosomal RNA
Source: RNAcentral
UGCAAGUCGAACGCACAGCGAAAGGUGCUUGCACCUUUCAAGUGAGUGGCGAACGGGUGAGUAACACGUGGACAACCUGCCUCAAGGCUGGGGAUAACAUUUGGAAACAGAUGCUAAUACCGAAUAAAACUUAGUGUCGCAUGACAAAAAGUUAAAAGGCGCUUCGGCGUCACCUAGAGAUGGAUCCGCGGUGCAUUAGUUAGUUGGUGGGGUAAAGGCCUACCAAGACAAUGAUGCAUAGCCGAGUUGAGAGACUGAUCGGCCACAUUGGGACUGAGACACGGCCCAAACUCCUACGGGAGGCUGCAGUAGGGAAUCUUCCACAAUGGGCGAAAGCCUGAUGGAGCAACGCCGCGUGUGUGAUGAAGGCUUUCGGGUCGUAAAGCACUGUUGUAUGGGAAGAACAGCUAGAAUAGGAAAUGAUUUUAGUUUGACGGUACCAUACCAGAAAGGGACGGCUAAAUACGUGCCAGCAGCCGCGGUAAUACGUAUGUCCCGAGCGUUAUCCGGAUUUAUUGGGCGUAAAGCGAGCGCAGACGGUUUAUUAAGUCUGAUGUGAAAGCCCGGAGCUCAACUCCGGAAUGGCAUUGGAAACUGGUUAACUUGAGUGCAGUAGAGGUAAGUGGAACUCCAUGUGUAGCGGUGGAAUGCGUAGAUAUAUGGAAGAACACCAGUGGCGAAGGCGGCUUACUGGACUGCAACUGACGUUGAGGCUCGAAAGUGUGGGUAGCAAACAGGAUUAGAUACCCUGGUAGUCCACACCGUAAACGAUGAACACUAGGUGUUAGGAGGUUUCCGCCUCUUAGUGCCGAAGCUAACGCAUUAAGUGUUCCGCCUGGGGAGUACGACCGCAAGGUUGAAACUCAAAGGAAUUGACGGGGACCCGCACAAGCGGUGGAGCAUGUGGUUUAAUUCGAAGCAACGCGAAGAACCUUACCAGGUCUUGACAUCCUUUGAAGCUUUAGAAAAUAG